Molecule: ribosomal RNA, 927 nt
Filed under: Enterobacter cloacae
Lineage: Bacteria; Pseudomonadati; Pseudomonadota; Gammaproteobacteria; Enterobacterales; Enterobacteriaceae
Description: partial 16S ribosomal RNA
Rfam family: Bacterial small subunit ribosomal RNA
Source: RNAcentral
AAGGCAGGGAGCUACCUGCAGUCGACGGUANACAGAGAGCUUGCUCUCGGGUGACGAGUGGCGGACGGGUGAGUAAUGUCUGGGAAACUGCCUGAUGGAGGGGGAUAACUACUGGAAACGGUAGCUAAUACCGCAUAACGUCGCAAGACCAAAGAGGGGGACCUUCGGGCCUCUUGCCAUCAGAUGUGCCCAGAUGGGAUUAGCUAGUAGGUGGGGUAACGGCUCACCUAGGCGACGAUCCCUAGCUGGUCUGAGAGGAUGACCAGCCACACUGGAACUGAGACACGGUCCAGACUCCUACGGGAGGCAGCAGUGGGGAAUAUUGCACAAUGGGCGCAAGCCUGAUGCAGCCAUGCCGCGUGUAUGAAGAAGGCCUUCGGGUUGUAAAGUACUUUCAGCGGGGAGGAAGGUGUUGUGGUUAAUAACCACAGCAAUUGACGUUACCCGCAGAAGAAGCACCGGCUAACUCCGUGCCAGCAGCCGCGGUAAUACGGAGGGUGCAAGCGUUAAUCGGAAUUACUGGGCGUAAAGCGCACGCAGGCGGUCUGUCAAGUCGGAUGUGAAAUCCCCGGGCUCAACCUGGGAACUGCAUUCAAAACUGGCAGGCUGGAGUCUUGUAGAGGGGGGUAAAAUUCCAGGUGUAGCGGGGAAAUGCGUAGAGAUCUGGAGGAAUACCGGGGGCGAAGGGGGCCCCCUGGACAAAAACUGGAGCUCAGGUGCAAAAGCGUGGGGGAGAAAACAGGAUAAGAUACCCUGGUAGGUCCACCCCGAAAACAAAGUCAAUUUGGAGGGUUGGGCCUUUGAGGGGUGGGUUCCGGAACAAACGCGUUAAAUCAACCCCCCGGGGGGGCACCGGCCCCAGGUUUAAACUCAAAUGAAUUUGGGGGGGCGCCCCACCACCGGGGGAACCUGGGGGUUAUUUUUAAG